UUUUAGACUUGAGGAGAAACCAAAAUGGUGGCAUAAGUAAACACCAGAGAUUGCUGCCUCGCAUAACCACCUCAAAAAUACAACUAAGAGACAGAAC
Myotis davidii is the source of this 97-nucleotide long non-coding RNA. RefSeq lists it as uncharacterized. Lineage: Eukaryota; Metazoa; Chordata; Mammalia; Chiroptera; Vespertilionidae. The record is from RefSeq and is a predicted model, not a curated record. The transcript has 3 exons.